Molecule: long non-coding RNA, 1059 nt
Organism: Esox lucius (northern pike)
Lineage: Eukaryota; Metazoa; Chordata; Actinopteri; Esociformes; Esocidae
Source: Ensembl
CAGAUCUUUGAUGUUGUUUACUGACGCGUCAGCCCGUUUUACCCCAAAACCCCCCGUGUUAUAGACCUGACCAGACAUGUAUCAAGGAUGUGUCAAGGAGGAGCAGUGCACGGACGGGCAGGACCAGUGCUCGUAUUCCAUGUCCCCAUCUACACAGAGAGCAGAGGUGGAGGAGGGGAGUGGAGGAGCAGCCUUGCCUUGGUUGCAUCUCAGAACCUCACCAUCCUGAUCUUGGCUGAAGCCAAAAAAAAAUUAUCCUAUUCCUCCAAAUUAUGAACAGAGGAACAUCCAGUCCUGACUCUAGCUCCAGACGGACAAUGGGGUCUCGAAGGAGGCCAACUUGGCCGUGAUGACAAAAAAAAAAAGGGUGUGUGAGAAAAUAAAGCAGGCAAGCUUACCGUUUCACCGUCCUGCGUCCAUUUCACCAAGGAUACUGCAGACAAACCUCUGAGUAAGAGAAAGGCUGUGUGCAAUCCACUCUUAGUCCAACAUCCUCCAAAUCUCUCUCCUUUCACACUCUCUUUGAUCCCACUCUUUCUCUUAUUAUUGUCUGUGUUCUAUUUCCUCUUGCGUUGGCUCCAAGGCAGUUGAGGCACUGCAGCGAUGGGGGAGGAGGGUGUGUGUAUGUGUGCACGUUUGAGUGUGUCAGAGAGCUCAGGGAGAGAGAGCGAGAGAGAGAGAGUGUACAAGAGAGAGAAAAAUGAAGGGAGGAGUCAGCAAGGAUAGAGAGAGGAAAACGGACAGGAUUAAAUCAUGAGAGAAACAGAAGGAGGAAAAAGGGCACCAAGCUAAACAGAACACAGGGCUGUGAGUGCAUCGCUGCUCCGUUGCAUGCAAAAGGAAAACGAAAGAAGUGUUAAAGGAAACAAAGAGCCCCGCAAGCUGCAGUAGAAAGACAUUCUGUGCCUCUCCCAGCAUCCUGUCUCCCUAAUCCUUAAUCCUGUGAAAAUCGGUCAGGCGGAAACAGGGCAGCUUUGAUCAGGCUCUCAUAUCAGACGUGGUAACAGUGUUGGCUCCCCCAGAUCCCAGAGAAACCCGGAGCCCAGUGGGACGGAGAGG